AUCUAGCUAUAGCUUCAGAGAUUAUACAUUUCUAAUUUUUUCAGAAAGUUGUUUUCAUUGCAAGCUAAAGCUUGCUAUUAGCUAGCCAGCUGGAGUUCGAUGGCUGGCUUGUUAACCAAAUAACGUUAGGUUCAAUGUUAGUUAACUUUGGCUUGCAAUCAGUUUGUAUUGCUAGUAACGUUACUCUAUGGAUUGGUAUUAUAGUUAAUUUUUUUGCUUGCUAACGCCAUCGCUCAUCCAUAUAUUUAUAUGUACAUAUUCUUAUUCAUCCCUGUUAUAUUUGCGUCAAUGUGUUUGUAUAAGGUAGUUGUUUGUGUGUAUUUGUUAGAUUACUUGUUAGAUUUUACUGCAUAGUCGGAGCUAGAAGCACAAGCAUUUCGCUACACUCGCAUUAACAUCUGCAUGUGACCAACAAAAUUUGAUUUGAUUUUGAAGACCCCCGCUUGUUGUUAGCUAGCUAAUGUUAGCAGAGGUUAGGUGGGUGGAUUGCUAUCUAACAUUAGCUUAUGUGUAUGAGGUGUGUGUAACGUUAGUGAUUUCUCAGAAUGCCAUUUCGCAUUGCUAGUUAUGGCCUAAUGUUAGCUAGCAAACUAUCUAACAUUGAACUUAUUGGUUAACUAUGACAAUCGGUUUGUAUUGCCAGUUAAAGCUUGCUGUUAGCUAGCCAGCUGACGUUAGAUGGCAGGCUAGCUACAGUAGCUAACAUUACCUGUAUGAACUGUGUGUAGUGAUGUUAUCGCAGAAUGCCAUUUCGCAUCUAUUGUAUAAUUAUGCUAAAAUAUUUGUAUCUGGAAUUUGUCUUUCAGCAUCAAUCAGUAGAACCGGCCUGACUAAUCCGCCAGCCAGUCAUCAAAAAGAGAGCUGGCCCAGGCAAGCAAAGACUGCAGCGCAGUCAUUAACUACAUGCACCAUUUCUUCACUAACUACAGAGAUGAAAAAUCAAAUGUGGACCUGAAUUGUGAUAACUGCAGUGGCCAAAACAAGAACAGGUUUGUGAUCUGGUAUUGUGCCUGGUGGACCAUGCACAAGCUCCACCACAAUCUGGACAUUCACUUCCUCAUCACAGGCCACACCAAGUGUGCUCCUGACAGGUGCUUCGGCCUCAUCAAGCAGUGAUUCAGAAAGACCAGAGUGAACACUUUGUCUGAGAUUGCUGCUGUUGUGAAGGACAGCACUGUGACAGGGGUCAACAUCCCACAGCUGGUUGGACUGGAGGAUAAUACGGUGCUGGUGGAAAGCUAUGGCUGACUCUGUACUGCCACAGAUCAAGCAGUACCAGCACUUCAGCUUUGAUGCUCUGGAGCCUUGGUGUUGUUCACGCCAAGGAGCGUUCGCACUGUUGGGACCAGGUUUUAGCUGCUGAGCAACUCUGACAUCCCAUAGAUGGCAUGCCUAUACAAGCACCACCUGGACUGGACACAGCUAGACAAACAUAUAUUUUUGAGAAGAUCAGGGUGUUUUGCGACGGACCAGUCAUCAGCACUAUCUGCAGUGCCUCUAUUCAAAUGACUCUCUAGUAACACACACGGCAUACGUUGCUGCUACAAUUGUUGGGGUUUAUCCUGCUGCUCAGCCACUACCCCAGAUUGUGUAUAUAUAUAUAUAUAUAAAUACCUCGUCUAUCAUUGAUAAUGUUCUUGCACAUCCUGUAUAUUUGAUAAAUAUUGACACUAUUUCUGAUAUUGCUACUAUGCAAGUAACCAUUUGGCUGUACCAUUUACAGCUGCAGUAGAGACCAUCCACUUAGCAAGACUUAGCAAAAUAUUGAUAUAUAUCAAAUUAAUAUUUAUGUGUGGUCGUAACAUGAUUUUGUGGCAUACCACAACAAUAUCAUGUGACCGUAUCAAGUGUCCAGCACAUAAAUACAUGGCGCAUGCAUCUGUUUAUGUACUGUACAUGUGCAAAAUAAAUAAACAUAUGUGCAAUACUGUGAUAAGUACACGUGUAACAGUAUAUGAAAAUGUUCUGGUGUGAAGGCAUUUGGGCAGUGGUGUGAAGUACUUAAGUAGUACUUUGAAGUAUUUUUAUUUAAUGUAAUUUUUGUGGUAUCUGUACAUUACUUUAUUUAUAUUUACUAUAUUAUAUACUUUUAUAUUUACUAUAUUAUAUACUUUAUUUAUAUUUACUAUAUUCGUAAAGAAAAAAAUGUACUUUUUACUCCAUACAUUUUCCUUGACUCCCAAAACUACUUGUUGCAUUUUGACAGGAAAAUUGUCCAAUUCACACUUAUCAAGAGAACAUCCCUGGUCAUCACUACUGCCUCUGAUCUGGCGGACUCAUUAAACACAAAUGCUUUGCUUGUAAAUUUUGUCUGAGUGUUGGAGUGUGCCCCUGGCUAUCCAUCAAAAAAAUUAAAAAUAAUUGUGCCGUCUG
Molecule: long non-coding RNA, 2373 nt
Organism: Oncorhynchus nerka (sockeye salmon)
Lineage: Eukaryota; Metazoa; Chordata; Actinopteri; Salmoniformes; Salmonidae
Exons: 2
Source: RefSeq, a predicted model, not a curated record